Sarcophilus harrisii (Tasmanian devil) is the source of this 187-nucleotide small nucleolar RNA. The record is from Ensembl. NCBI's taxonomy places the organism in Eukaryota, Metazoa, Chordata, Mammalia, Dasyuromorphia, Dasyuridae.
AGGGAAGCAAAAUGAUGAAUAUUAUUGGUUGGAGCCCUUAAAAGGCAAAUGUUUGUGUCUGUAUAUGAAUGUAUGUGCGCGCACUUGUGCUUGGAUGUAUGAUUGACUGUGAAUGGUGAUAGGGACUUAGUUAUAUGCCUUUUUAUAGAGGGCCAUGAUAUUCAAACUGAUAAGAUCUGAUUGCUUC